RNAcentral lists this transfer RNA (66 nucleotides) under Graffilla buccinicola. RNAcentral describes it as "tRNA-Pro". The record is from RNAcentral. Lineage: Eukaryota; Metazoa; Platyhelminthes; Rhabdocoela; Graffillidae.
UUGGGGGUAGUUUAUUAUUAGAAUGGGGCCUUUGGGUGGUUCUGGGGGUCUUCGGGUCUCCCCAAA